UAGUCCAUGCCGUAAACGAUGAUCACUAGAUGUUGGCGAUAUACUGUCAGUGUUUAAGAGAAAUCAUUAAGUGAUCCACCUGGGGAGUACGUUCGCAAGAAUGAAACUCAAAGGAAUUGACGGGGGCCCGCACAAGCGGAGGAACAUGUGGUUUAAUUCGAUGAUACGCGAGGAACCUUACCAAGGCUUAAAUGUAGAUUGACAGAUUGUGAAAACAAUUUUUUCUCGGACAAUUUACAAGGUGCUGCAUGGUUGUCGUCAGCUCGUGCCGUGAGGUGUCGGGUUAAGUCCCAUAACGAGCGCAACCCCUAUUUUUAGUUGCCAGCGAGUAAUGUCGGGAACUCUAGAAAGACUGCCUGUGUAAACNGAGAGGAAGGUGGGGAUGACGUCAAAUCAUCACGGCCCUUAUGUCUUGGGGCUACACACGUGUUACAAUGGUUACUACAGUGGGAAGCCAUCUGGCAACAGAGAGCAAAAUCCAUAAAAGGUAUCCCAGUUCGGAUCGG
This 506-nucleotide ribosomal RNA is filed under the name uncultured bacterium. RNAcentral describes it as "bacterial SSU rRNA". It matches the Rfam family "Bacterial small subunit ribosomal RNA", at positions 791 to 1301 of the family's 1533-position model. The record is from RNAcentral.